CCUACGGGUGACAGCAGUGAGGAAUAUUGGUCAAUGGGCGCGCGCCUGAACCAGCCAAGUCGCGUGAGGGAAGACGGUCCUAUGGAUUGUAAACCUCUUUUGUCGGGGAGCAACAGACGCUACGCGUGGCGUUCCGGGAGGUCCCGAAGAAAAAGCCUCGGCGAACCACGGUACAGCAGCCGCGGGAAUACGGAGGAUGCGAGGGUUAUUCGGAAUUAUUGGGGUUAAAGGGUUCGUAGGCGGAAUAUCAAGUCAGCGGUAAAAUUGAGGGGCUCAACCUCUUCGAGCCGUUGAAACUGGUGUUCUUGAGUGAGUGAGAAGUAUGCGGAAUGCGUGGUGUAGCGGUGAAAUGCAUAGAUAUCACGCAGAACUCCGAUUGCGAAGGCAGCAUACCGGCGCCCAACUGACGCUGAUGCACGAAAGUGUGGGUAUCGAACAGGAUUAGAUACCCGGGUAGUC
This 459-nucleotide ribosomal RNA is filed under the name uncultured bacterium. RNAcentral describes it as "partial 16S ribosomal RNA". It matches the Rfam family "Bacterial small subunit ribosomal RNA", at positions 338 to 795 of the family's 1533-position model. The record is from RNAcentral.